Long non-coding RNA from Cryptotermes secundus, 531 nucleotides. RefSeq lists it as uncharacterized. The record is from RefSeq and is a predicted model, not a curated record. Lineage: Eukaryota; Metazoa; Arthropoda; Insecta; Blattodea; Kalotermitidae. The transcript has 3 exons.
UCUAAACUUAGAGGAGAUAUUGGAUGAUGUUGGGUUUCUGUCUGCUGCAAGUGCAGUGGAAGCAGAAGUACCAGCAUCAUCCAGUAUUUCUUCUAAAGGAAGUAUACCAAAAGAAACGGGUGAUGAUUCAAAAUCACAUCAUCCAAGACUUCAGUUGACCGGAAGAGAAACGACUUCUUGAAAAAGAAGGCGUCAGACUGUCUUCUCAUUAACCUCUCACAAAAGAUGAAGAGCAUGAACUUAAAAAGGUUAGAAGAAGAAUCUGUAAUAAGAUAUCAGCACAGGAUUCACGCAGGAGAAAGAAGGGAUAAAUGGAUGACUUGGAAGAGAGGAUGAAUGAGGAAGUGGGCUGGUAUGUAGGGCUUACAGCAGAAGUAAUGCUGGCCAUGGUGUUUUCCAAUGGGAGUGAACCUUGUGGGCAGGAAGGGUUGGAGAAGACUUGCAGCCAGACUGCAUGGGUGUAUCCAUCUUGGUUGAAGUUGUGGCCAUGUCUGUUUUGAUGGAUUCCCUGAUUAUCUAAAAGUAAGUAAA